CUGUGUCCUUCGACGCCGGUUCACCGCCUGUCGGUGCCAACUGGCGUUUUGCGGGACGUCCUGUCGGUGGUGUGUCAGGAAUCUUAGUUGUGCUAAGCUCUGCCUAGUGCAGCUCUGGUUUCGGGCCACUUUCAUAAUCCCGCCGCGGUGCUCUUAAUCGAGUGUCGAGGCGGGCCGGCACGUUUACUUUGAACAAAUUAGAGUGCUUCAAGCAGGCUUGUCACGCCUGUAUACUGUGUGCAUGGAAUAAUGGAAUAGGACCUCGGUUCUAUUUUGUUGGUUUCCGGAAUCUGAGGUAAUGAUCAAUGGGGACAGGCGGGGGCAUUCGUAUUGCGACGUUAGAGGUGAAAUUCUUGGAUCGUCGCAAGACGGACCGAAGCGAAAGCAUUUGCCAAGUAUGUUCCCGUCGAUCAAGAACGAAAGUUAGAGGUUCGAAGGCGAUCAGAUACCGCCCUAGUUCUAACCAUAAACAAUGCCUGCCAGCGAUCCGCCGGCGUCCCUCCGAUGACCCGGCGGGCAGCUUCCGGGAAACCAGAGCUUUUGGGUUCCGGGGGAAGUAUGGUUGCAAAGCUGAAACUUAAAGGAAUUGACGGAAGGGCACCACCAGGAGUGGAGCCUGCGGCUUAAUUUGACUCAACACGGGAAAACUCACCAGGCCCGGACACCGGAAGGAUUGACAGAUUGAUAGCUCUUUCUUGAUUCGGUGGGUGGUGGUGCAUGGCCGUUCUUAGUUGGUGGAGCGAUUUGUCUGGUUAAUUCCGAUAACGAACGAGACUCUAGCCUACUAACUAGACGUAUCUGGUAUCAGCAAUCGUGCUACCAGCGAUCAUAUCUCUUCUUAGAGGGACAGGCGGCUUUUAGCCGCACGAGACUGAGCAAUAACAGGUCUGUGAUGCCCUUAGAUGUCCUGGGCCGCACGCGCGCUACACUGAAGGAAUCAGCGUGUCUUCCCUGUCCGAAAGGACCGGGUAACCCGCUGAACCUCCUUCGUGCUUGGGAUUGGGGCUUGCAAUUGUUCCCCAUGAACGAGGAAUUCCCAGUAAGCGCGAGUCAUAAGCUCGCGUUGAUUACGUCCCUGCCCUUUGUACACACCGCCCGUCGCUACUACCGAUUGAAUGAUUUAGUGAGGUCUUCGGACCGGUGCGCGGAGGCGGUUUUCCGCUCCCGAUGUUGUCGGAAAGAUGACCAAACUUGAUCAUU
Molecule: ribosomal RNA, 1200 nt
Filed under: Coronacella sinhalana
Lineage: Eukaryota; Metazoa; Arthropoda; Insecta; Hemiptera; Delphacidae
Description: SSU rRNA
Rfam family: Eukaryotic small subunit ribosomal RNA
Source: RNAcentral